AUGUGUGGAACUACACUACAGCACUAUCUGUUUCUCUGUUUGUCAGUGAGUUUUUGCUGGCAGCUGUCCAACUCUGGGUCUACAAUACAUGGAGAGGUCCAGUCCCCUCUGUAUCCCCGGCCUUACCUUCCCAACCUGCUGAGGCAAUGGGACGUCUGGGUUCCCGAGGGCUACGUGAUCCAGCUGUCCAUAACACACCUGGAUAUUAAAGCUUCCUCAGGCUGCUACCAAGACUCUUUGACGGUUCUCUAUGAUCAAAAUGUCUUGGGGAAGUUUUGUGGCCAGGAAAAUUCAACUGAUCACCCAGGCAAAGAGCCGAUCCUUUCUCAAGGCAACAAACUGACUCUCAUAUUCCAAACAAGUGACUUCAAUACAAAACUCCAACAGCACAUUGGCUUCUCUGCUACCUACAAGGCAAUAGACUUGGAUGAGUGUUCCCAACCAGACCCUGGAGAUGACUCAGGUCCACUCUGCUCUCACAUCUGUGUAAACACCCCUGGUUCUUACCGCUGCUCCUGUCACCAUGGUUACAAACUUCAUUUAGACCAACACACAUGUUUGAUGUCCUGUGGUGGUUGUAUAUUUGACAAGAAUAAGGGACAUCUGGCCAGUCCGAGAUACCCUCACCCCUCACCACCUUUGCUGUCCUGCUUAUACAUCAUCACCGUGGAGCCCAGCUUAACUGUGACUCUCAACUUCACUGACAGCUUCCACAUAGAUAGCAUGGACACUGAACAAGGUCCCAGCUGUGUACGUCACUGGCUGCAGGUGUCCAUACCAGACAGAGAGCCCAUGAAGCUGUGUGGUGGAAAGAGUCCAGGCCUGAUAGCUACAAACUCCAACACUGUCAGACUGGACUACCACACUGAUGAUGAAGGCCUGAGUCGUGGCUGGAGCCUGGACUACAGUACAUACAAAGUCAAAUGUCCAUUUCAGGAGCAUGUGUCCAAACACUGUGUAUCCUGUCUAAACUAAAUAUUUUUACAGUGUUUACAUCUAUGUAACCUGUGACCAAGGAUACAAGAUGACGAUGGUUUGAUGUUUUUUCUUUAACUGGCAAAAUAUGAAUAUAUCCCUGUUUUUGUUCUUCUGCAGAAAUUGAUUGUGGAGAACCUGAACCUUUGCUGAAUGGAGGGGUGAUCUUCCUGUCUGGCUUUCAGUAUCAGUACCGUUCUGUUAUUCAGUAUCACUGUAAUGAACCAUUUUACACUCUCCCUGGUGGCAUUAAUGUUACUUUCACCUGUGAAGCAGACAGAAAGUGGAGAUCCAACCACAACGAUGUAACUCCAACAUGUAUACCUGUCUGUGGCAAGCCCACAAAACUCAUCUCUGCCUAUCAGAGGAUCAUUGGAGGCAGUGACGCUCCAGAUGAUACCAUCCCCUGGCAAGUGCUAAUGAAUAUAGAUGGGGCCAGAGGGGGAGGCAUGGUGAUAGGAGACCGCUGGAUUAUGACUGCAGCUAACGUAAUGAGUAAAGGAAAUCAAGUAUCAAAAGAGACUGUGCGAAUGUAUAUGGGACUUACUGAUUUGAAAACCCAGUUAGUCUCUCCUGUGUAUGCUGCCUCAAUCCACAUUCAUCCUGAAUACAACAACCCCAAUAAUGUAGACUUUAACCAUGACAUUGCCUUGAUCAAACUGCAAGACGUGAUCACAUUCAACUCAUCCAUCAUGCCAAUAUGUUUGCCAGCAGAGGGUGCCACAUACGUCACUGGCGUGAUGGGACUGGUGUCAGGGUUUGGCAUUACAGAAAGGGCCGGGAGACAGGUUUUAACAAGUAAGAUGAAUUAUGUGCAAUUACCUGUGGUGGAUAAGGAGACAUGCAGUAAAUCAAUCACUUCGUUGAAGAAGACAAGGGACAAUGUUCCAAGUCUGUCAAACAACAUGUUCUGUGCUGGAGUCCCUGAAGGUGGGCAGGACUCCUGCCAGGGUGACAGUGGAGGCCCCUACGCCCUAAGAGACGACGGAAGGUUCUGGGCUGCUGGGAUUGUCAGCUGGGGGGUUGACUGUGGAAAGCAGGGAACAUAUGGAGUCUAUACCAGAGUCACCAACUACAUGGAGUGGAUCAACAAGACUAUGCAGGAGAACUGA
Molecule: RNA transcript, 2087 nt
Organism: Perca flavescens (yellow perch)
Lineage: Eukaryota; Metazoa; Chordata; Actinopteri; Perciformes; Percidae
Gene name: complement C1r-A subcomponent-like
Exons: 11
Source: RefSeq, a predicted model, not a curated record